AUGGCUCAGGAUGAACGCUAGCUACAGGCUUAACACAUGCAAGUCGAGGGGCAGCAUUGGAGUAGCAAUACUCAGAUGGCGACCGGCGCACGGGUGAGUAACACGUAUCCAACCUGCCGCUUACUCGGGGAUAGCCUUUCGAAAGAAAGAUUAAUACCCGAUGGUAUAAAGAGUUCGCAUGUUCUCUUUAUUAAAGAAUUUCGGUAAGCGAUGGGGAUGCGUUCCAUUAGAUAGUUGGCGGGGUAACGGCCCACCAAGUCUACGAUGGAUAGGGGUUCUGAGAGGAAGGUCCCCCCACAUUGGAACUGAGACACGGUCCAAACUCCUACGGGAGGCAGCAGUGAGGAAUAUUGGUCAAUGGACGCGAGUCUGAACCAGCCAAGUAGCGUAGAAGGAAGAAGGAUCUAUGGUUCGUAAACUUCUUUUGCAGGGGAAUAAAGUGCAGGACGUGUCCUGUUUUGUAUGUACCCUGAGAAUAAGGAUCGGCUAACUCCGUGCCAGCAGCCGC
This 508-nucleotide ribosomal RNA is filed under the name uncultured bacterium. RNAcentral's name for it is "bacterial SSU rRNA". It matches the Rfam family "Bacterial small subunit ribosomal RNA", at positions 19 to 518 of the family's 1533-position model. The record is from RNAcentral.